Long non-coding RNA from Pelmatolapia mariae (spotted tilapia), 430 nucleotides. RefSeq lists it as uncharacterized. Lineage: Eukaryota; Metazoa; Chordata; Actinopteri; Cichliformes; Cichlidae. The transcript has 3 exons. The record is from RefSeq and is a predicted model, not a curated record.
GAAGCAGAAUUUGCCCGUCUUACAUCUGUUGACCUGAAAGGGUUCCUUUUUGCUGUGCUUGACCAUUAUGGAGAGGUUCGUGGAGCUGUACAAAAUCAAGAGCGGCAUAGAAAGGCUAACUAGGCUCAUAAGAUGCUUCGGAGAUGAUAGCCCUACACAAAGGAAGAGGACAGAGGACCUCAUUUUCUAAAGGAAGAUCCCUCACACACUUUCAAGACUGUGAAGCCGACAGGUAUUGAAGACACGUUUUCUAAGAGGAUGAAAGUUGGCAUUGCGAUGGUGAAAGAAGAAGACAUCAUCGAUGUGUUGGUUGUCCUUGAGGCGGCAGUAAUCCUGUCUAAUCUGAGGGAUGUCUCAAGUGCCAUUUCCAUGCUGAUGGGCCUUCUUUUUGCCCUCAACAUACACUAUCCAAAGGAACUUAAGGACAUCU